AUUGAACGCUGGCGGCAUGCCUUACACAUGCAAGUCGAACGGCAGCACGGGUGCUUGCACCUGGUGGCGAGUGGCGAACGGGUGAGUAAUACAUCGGAACAUGUCCUGUAGUGGGGGAUAGCCCGGCGAAAGCCGGAUUAAUACCGCAUACGAUCUACGGAUGAAAGCGGGGGACCUUCGGGCCUCGCGCUAUAGGGUUGGCCGAUGGCUGAUUUGCUAGUUGGUGGGGUAAAGGCCUACCAAGGCGACGAUCAGUAGCUGGUCUGAGAGGACGACCAGCCACACUGGGACUGAGACACGGACCAGACUCCUACGGGAGGCAGCAGUGGGGAAUUUUGGACAAUGGGCGAAAGCCUGAUCCAGCAAUGCCGCGUGUGUGAAGAAGGCCUUCGGGUUGUAAAGCACUUUUGUCCGGAAAGAAAUCCUUGGCCCUAAUACGGUCGGGGGAUGACGGUACCGGAAGAAUAAGCACCGGCUAACUACGUG
RNAcentral lists this ribosomal RNA (486 nucleotides) under uncultured bacterium. RNAcentral describes it as "partial 16S ribosomal RNA". It matches the Rfam family "Bacterial small subunit ribosomal RNA", at positions 30 to 507 of the family's 1533-position model. The record is from RNAcentral.